Molecule: ribosomal RNA, 91 nt
Filed under: Chinchilla lanigera (long-tailed chinchilla)
Lineage: Eukaryota; Metazoa; Chordata; Mammalia; Rodentia; Chinchillidae
Source: RNAcentral
AUCUAAGGCCACACCACCCUGAAAGCACCUGAUCUCAUCUGAUCUUGGAAGCUAAGCUGGGUCAUGCUCCUUUGAUUGGGAGCCAUAGGCU